This 87-nucleotide transfer RNA is filed under the name Kushneria sp. AK178. Its description in RNAcentral is "tRNA-Leu". It matches the Rfam family "tRNA". From Rfam's summary of the family: Transfer RNA (tRNA) molecules are approximately 80 nucleotides in length. Lineage: Bacteria; Pseudomonadati; Pseudomonadota; Gammaproteobacteria; Oceanospirillales; Halomonadaceae. RNAcentral also lists the same sequence under 4 other names. The record is from RNAcentral.
GCCCGGGUGGCGGAAUUGGUAGACGCGCUAGCUUCAGGUGCUAGUGACUGUAUGGUCGUGGAGGUUCAAGUCCUCUCCCGGGCACCA